Molecule: ribosomal RNA, 491 nt
Filed under: uncultured bacterium
Lineage: Bacteria
Description: partial 16S ribosomal RNA
Rfam family: Bacterial small subunit ribosomal RNA
Source: RNAcentral
AGUGAACGCUGGCGGUAGGCCUAACACAUGCAAGUCGAACGGCAGCACAGUAAGAGCUUGCUCUUACGGGUGGCGAGUGGCGGACGGGUGAGGAAUACAUCGGAAUCUACUUUUUCGUGGGGGAUAACGUAGGGAAACUUACGCUAAUACCGCAUACGACCUACGGGUGAAAGCAGGGGAUCUUCGGACCUUGCGCGAUUGAAUGAGCCGAUGUCGGAUUAGCUAGUUGGCGGGGUAAAGGCCCACCAAGGCGACGAUCCGUAGCUGGUCUGAGAGGAUAAUCAGCCACACUGGAACUGAGACACGGUCCAGACUCCUACGGGAGGCAGCAGUGGGGAAUAUUGGACAAUGGGCGCAAGCCUGAUCCAGCCAUACCGCGUGGGUGAAGAAGGCCUUCGGGUUGUAAAGCCCUUUGUUGGGAAAGAAAAGCAGCAGGUUAAUACCCCGCUGUUCUGACGGUACCCAAAGAAUAAGCACCGGCUAACUUCGUG